Long non-coding RNA from Pseudophryne corroboree (corroboree frog), 1588 nucleotides. RefSeq lists it as uncharacterized. NCBI's taxonomy places the organism in Eukaryota, Metazoa, Chordata, Amphibia, Anura, Myobatrachidae. The record is from RefSeq and is a predicted model, not a curated record. The transcript is spliced from 3 exons.
CCUUCCUCUAGAAGGAAAGAGAGAGGACAGUCACGAGCAGGAGCCAGAGUACAAGACAAACACUAGCAGGAAUCUCUAGUCACAAGUAUGUACUUCCAUGUCUCCUCGGCUUGAGUUACCACACAUCCAUCUGCUACUGAUCAGCACGUCGCUGGAAUCAUCUACACAGCAAGUAUGUGCUGCUUGGCAUUUGGACGGCUGCUUUACUUGUUGUGCUGGCCGUAUGAGCAUAUGACGAGCAUUGCCUCGUAAAACAGACCUACUCUGCCAUUCAGUUUGAUGGAUAUGUCUCUAGAUAGUGACAUAGACUUUGUCACUGGCUACUUGAGCUGUACCGUGGACAUGAAUGUCUCUGGAAAGUAAAGGCCAAGGGGUAUUCAGAUAAAGUCCGACGGAAUGCGGCAUUAGAGGAGUUAGUGGACUACUGCAGGCCCUGUGUGUCCACUGCGGACAAAGAAUGGGUAAAAAAAAAUAGAUUCAGAACCUUUGCAUGGUGUUCCUUAAAGAACACACAAAAAUGAAUCAGUCGAAAAACUCUGGAGCAGGUUCGGCCCAGAUUUACAAGACAUCGCUCUGGUACUACAGCAUACUGGAGUUUGUCCUGGACCGGGAGCAUACCCGGACAGGUUUCACCUCACUCCCUCGGGCUGCCACUCCAGAGCCUGAAGACUGUGACCUCUCUCUGUCGGCAUCUAAUACAAUUGUGGAGAUUCCCCCCACCCCAGACCUCACCUUCAUCGAGGAUACGGAAGAAUUCAAGCCCCAACUUCCUAUCCCUGAAAUACCCACUACCCCGGAUACCUCAGCAUCAACAGCUCCUCCACCGCGCCCCCGGAAGAGUGCGCAAAAAAGAAAAGAAAAAAAGAACACCGCCAGGAGGGCGAAGAUAUUAUCUUUGAGGAGAUAAAAGGCAAGACUUGCCCCUCUCUCUCUCUCUAUCUCCCUCGCCGUCCCCCCCCUCCUCCCGACCACUACUCCAAUUUCGGGGAGUUUAUGGCCUCUUCCAUGCAAAAACUACCCCCAGGUCAGGCGGAGCAGAUUGAGAGGCUUUGUCUGAAAAUGCUCAACAAAGCACGCAAAUUGAAACUCCACGAUGAUCUGGUACUAUACGACCACCGUCCUCUCUCUUUCUCCCACCCAAUCCCAUCCUAUACCGCCCACCCAACCCCAUCUCAUUCCACCCACCCAACCACAGCCUACUCCUCCACCCACUUGCUCCUCAGCCAUAUACUCCCCCACCCACCUUCUCCUCCGCCAUAUACUCUGCUAUGCUGGAGGCAGAGGAGGACAUGCCCCAGUUUGAAGAUUUGUAGGCAUCUUAUAAUUCCCAAUCAAUAUGGUGCGGUAUAGGCCAUAUGGUGUUUGGGACCAAAUUUUUGGGGUAGGAUACACGCAUGCUGUAGGUGCAUCAUUCUGCACUUUACAGCAUGUGUGUAUUCUCCCAAUCAAAUCUGUACCCAAAACAGCAUAUAGCCCUACAUUAAAGUACCGCACCAUAUUUAUUGGGAAUGAAAAGUGUGUGUGUGUGUGUGUGUGUGUGUGUGUGUGUGUGUGUGUGUGUGUGUGUGUGUGUGUGUGUGUUAUAUAU